GAGGCUGGGCGGGGCGCAGCCGGAUCGGUCGAGAGCGUCCUGGCUGAUGACGGUCUCCCGUGCCCACGCCCCAAACGCAGUCUC
This is a microRNA precursor of Gorilla gorilla gorilla (western lowland gorilla), 84 nucleotides long. The record is from Ensembl. Lineage: Eukaryota; Metazoa; Chordata; Mammalia; Primates; Hominidae.